UACGAAGGGGGCUAGCGUUGUCCGGAUUUAUUGGGCGUAAAGAGCGUGUAGGCGGCCAUGUAGGUCCGUUGUGAAAACUCGAGGCUCAACCUCGAGACGCCGAUGGAAACCAUGUGGCUAGAGUCCGGAAGAGGAGAGUGGAAUUCCUGGUGUAGCGGUGAAAUGCGCAGAUAUCAGGAAGAACACCCGUGGCGAAGGCGGCUCUCUGGGACGGUACUGACGCUGAGACGCGAAAGCGUGGGGAGCGAACAGG
Molecule: ribosomal RNA, 253 nt
Filed under: uncultured bacterium
Lineage: Bacteria
Description: partial 16S ribosomal RNA
Rfam family: Bacterial small subunit ribosomal RNA
Source: RNAcentral